UUGAGUUAUUGAAAAGAGUCUGAUUACUUAGUAAGAUCAUGAUGGCAGGAUCAGUACAGCUUCCAUGCAAACGCCUCGUUCUUGUGGCUUUUAUCAUGCUUUGCUUUUUCUUGGUAUCAGCCACAGCACGCAGUUUACGAGUGGCUAGUACUACUAAUGAAUCGCCGACGAGCCAUGAGGAUCAUCAGUCUUCACCAAAAGAAGAUAGGGUGGCCUUGGCAGACACUGAAGAUUUAGUGACUGUGGAUUACACUCCGGCAACAAGGAAGCCUCCGAUACAUAACUAAUAAUUUUAAAAUAUUUAAGCAGUUAAACAAGCUUCGAUUGGUACUUUAGUUACUUAUUAUUCCUCAUUUAGUUUAAGCGCAUAAAUAUAUAUAUUUAUAGAUAUAGUUGAGCCUGGAGAAACAGGGAAACUCAUGCAGAGAUUUAAAAAAAUGGCAUGCAAUAGAUAUGAUGCUAUGGUCUAUUAUGGACCUUUUGUAAACUAGGGUUUCGGAAAGGUUUAUAGCUAGAGAAAAGCUGACUGUUACAUGCCACACAGAUCAUGUACGUGUUAGUACUUUUGUCUAAGCAUAAUCAAUAUAUGGAAUAUGUAUGUGAUUCUA
Long non-coding RNA from Juglans regia (Persian walnut), 608 nucleotides. RefSeq lists it as uncharacterized. The transcript is spliced from 2 exons. The record is from RefSeq and is a predicted model, not a curated record. Lineage: Eukaryota; Viridiplantae; Streptophyta; Magnoliopsida; Fagales; Juglandaceae.